AUUCUGUAGUCUUGGAGGCGCACUGGGUUGGUGGUACCCGAGGGCACACCAGACUUGCAGAGAAAGCAUACGCAGAGGAAGCUGAGGCAUGACUGCUCAAGAUCCAGCCGUUCUAUGUGCAAUUUUCCUCUGAUAGUUCCUGGGUCCUGUUGCCACGGCGAUAAUGGCGGCGCCAUGUCAUUAUCUAUCGACCAACAGCAAGAGAAGCCCUGCAGUCGAGAUAUUGUUUAACAGACGGAGUGGUUUCUGUUGGACACUGAGUACUGCUACAGUC
This 274-nucleotide small nucleolar RNA is filed under the name Suricata suricatta (meerkat). The record is from RNAcentral. Lineage: Eukaryota; Metazoa; Chordata; Mammalia; Carnivora; Herpestidae.